AAUGUGAAUUGCAGAAUUCAGUGAAUCAUCGAAUCUUUGAACGCACCUUGCCGCCCCUUGGUAUUCCGAGGGGCACACCCGUUUGAGUGUCGUGAAAAUCUCAACCUCCUUGGUUUCUUCUAGAGACCGAUGGGGGCUUGGACAUUGGAGGCCUUUGCUGGUGUCUCUCUUGAAGGCCCAGCUCCUCUUAAAUGAAUUAGCAGGGUCCUCUUUGCCGAUCCUCGACAUGUGAUAAGAUGUUUCCGUGUCUUGGUCUCUGGCUCUGUUGCUUUUGGGACCCGCUUCUAAUCGUCUCAACCUUGCAUCGAGACAAACGUCUGAGCGUGGCUCCCUUACCUGGGAAACUCUCUCGACCUCAUGAACCCUUGACCUCAAAUCGGGUGAGACUACCCGCUGAACUUAAGCAUAUCAAUAAGCGGAGGAAA
This 425-nucleotide small RNA is filed under the name uncultured fungus. Its description in RNAcentral is "eukaryotic LSU rRNA". The stretch from base 1 to 92 matches the Rfam family "5.8S ribosomal RNA", at positions 64 to 154 of the family's 154-position model. The record is from RNAcentral. Lineage: Eukaryota; Fungi.